Lathyrus oleraceus (garden pea) is the source of this 530-nucleotide long non-coding RNA. RefSeq lists it as uncharacterized. Lineage: Eukaryota; Viridiplantae; Streptophyta; Magnoliopsida; Fabales; Fabaceae. The record is from RefSeq and is a predicted model, not a curated record. The transcript has 2 exons.
UUUGUCAUUUUAUUUAAAUAUUCUAUUUCAUACAUGACAUUCUACAAAUAACUAAAGUUAUUUAUGUGAAUAUUUUCACAUCUUAUUAAGACUUUAUAUAAAGUUCUCUUUUUGUUGAAGAAUCGUAUCUUUCUAAGCUUGUUGCUUACUGAAACAGAUACAAAAUCAAUGAUUUGUUUUCAGCAAAUUAAUGAACGGUUCUAUUUUUAUAUUCGAUCUUGCGUGUGUGGUGGUUGGUGGUAAUGCAAUAUAUGCUCCCAAUUUCAACGGCUGGUAUAGAUCACCGGAGAACAUAACUACUGCAUCAUAAAUUUUUUGAUGACGAUCAUCUUCAACCUCUCACUUCAUUUUGUUCAAAUACAUAAUAGAUUCAAUAAUUGCUCAUGAAAUUCUAAUUGUAACAUACAAUGAUGAUAUGGUUUAUUUUAUUUAUGAAUAUUUAAUGUUUGAAUAUUACAAUUAAAAUUUUACGAGUCAUUAUUGAUUCUAUUUCAAACUUCAAAAUACAAAUAGAUGAGUUGUAUUGUUUA